Molecule: ribosomal RNA, 279 nt
Filed under: uncultured bacterium
Lineage: Bacteria
Description: partial 16S ribosomal RNA
Rfam family: Bacterial small subunit ribosomal RNA
Source: RNAcentral
UGCCAGCCGCCGCGGUAAUACGGAGGGUGCAGGCGUUAAUCGGAAUUACUGGGCGUAAAGCGCGCGUAGGCGGCUUUUUAAGUCGGAUGUGAAAGCCCCGGGCUCAACCUGGGAACUGCAUCCGAUACUGGAAGGCUAGAGUGCGAGAGAGGGAGGUAGAAUUCCAUGUGUAGCGGUGAAAUGCGUAGAUAUAUGGAGGAAUACCAGUGGCGAAGGCGGCCUCCUGGAUCUGUACUGACACUGAGGUGCGAAAGCGUGGGUAGCGAACAGGAUUAGAUA